CUGGUCGGACUGGCGGAGGAUGUGGUUCCAGGACAAGCUGGCAAAGACCCAGGAACAAAUGGUCCUGGUUUGAGGAGGAGAGAGAGAGAAGGAGAGACGGGAGGAGAGAGCUGCAGAUAACCCGUAUCCACAGAGAAAGUUCUGGAAUGUUAACGAUUGCUGUGAGGAAACUGAACUAAUCAACUUUGCAAAGUAUCGUGCAUCACUCUUGCUGAAGCCAGCGACUCCCCUUUGCUGCCUGAAGUGUUUUACUACUGCGUUAACUGUUGAUCAUGGUGCAAAUGAAUAGAAAUGGUGCUCGAAAUACUCCCUUUUUAUGUACAAACUGAUUUACCAUUUCUCACUUUCAAAUAAGACAUGUUUUUUGAAAAAUUA
Long non-coding RNA from Amblyraja radiata (thorny skate), 375 nucleotides. RefSeq lists it as uncharacterized. The record is from RefSeq and is a predicted model, not a curated record. The transcript has 2 exons. Lineage: Eukaryota; Metazoa; Chordata; Chondrichthyes; Rajiformes; Rajidae.